UUUUUAGAGAGUUUGAUCCUUGCUCAGGAUGAACGCUGUCGGCGUGAUUUACUCAUGCAAGUCGAACGGACUUUUAAUGAAACCUAGUGAUUUAAAAGUUAGUGGCGGACGGGUGAGUAACGCGUGGGUAACCUGCCAUAUGCUGGGGGACAACAGUUAGAAAUGACUGCUAAUACCGCAUAAGCGCACAGAAUCGCAUGAUUCAGUGUGAAAAACUGCGGUGGCAUAUGAUGGACCCGCGUCUGAUUAGCUGGUUGGUGAGGUAACGGCUCACCAAGGCGACGAUCAGUAGCCGACCUGAGAGGGUGAUCGGCCACAUUGGAACU
This 326-nucleotide ribosomal RNA is filed under the name Lachnospiraceae bacterium. RNAcentral describes it as "bacterial SSU rRNA". It matches the Rfam family "Bacterial small subunit ribosomal RNA", at positions 1 to 320 of the family's 1533-position model. The record is from RNAcentral. Lineage: Bacteria; Bacillati; Bacillota; Clostridia; Lachnospirales; Lachnospiraceae.